GCUGGGCGUCAUGGCGGGUGCCUGUAAUCCCAGCUACUUAGGAGGCUGAGGCAGGAGAAUUGCUUGAACCUGGGAGGCGGAGGUUGCAGUGAGACUGCUCACUGCUGAGACUGCUCCACUGCACUCCGACCUGGGUGACAGAGCGAGACUCUGUCUCUU
This 159-nucleotide small RNA is filed under the name Macaca mulatta (Rhesus monkey). Its description in RNAcentral is "Metazoan signal recognition particle RNA (ENSMMUG00000064988.1)". Lineage: Eukaryota; Metazoa; Chordata; Mammalia; Primates; Cercopithecidae. The record is from Rfam by way of RNAcentral.